AUGGCGCUCGUAUCCGGGUUCUUCCCGCCGCCGUCGUACACCCCGGGUGCGUCCCAGCGCGCCCCCUUCUUCCUGGGCUUCGGCUUCGGCGGCGAGUUCUGCGACCCGUCGUUUGCCGGCAACUACGACUACGAGGAGUACGCCCCAUCGAGCCCUUCGCCGCUCGCGAGCUCCAAGGACUACCACACUCCAUCGAGCCCUGACUACAGUCCGGCGAGCCCCGACUACACUCCAGCGAGCCCGGACUACACUCCCGCGAGCCCCGACUACACGCCGUCGAGCCCCGACUACACUCCGGCGAGCCCCGACUACACUCCGGCGAGCGCUUCGCCGUAG
This 336-nucleotide ribosomal RNA is filed under the name Triticum aestivum (bread wheat). Its description in RNAcentral is "partial small subunit ribosomal RNA". Lineage: Eukaryota; Viridiplantae; Streptophyta; Magnoliopsida; Poales; Poaceae. The record is from RNAcentral.